RNAcentral lists this ribosomal RNA (732 nucleotides) under Cutaneotrichosporon moniliiforme. RNAcentral describes it as "eukaryotic LSU rRNA". It matches the Rfam family "Eukaryotic large subunit ribosomal RNA", at positions 84 to 812 of the family's 3401-position model. Lineage: Eukaryota; Fungi; Basidiomycota; Tremellomycetes; Trichosporonales; Trichosporonaceae. The record is from RNAcentral.
UAACGGCGAGUGAACCGGGAAAAGCUCAAAUUUGUAAUCUGGCUGUCUUCGAUAGUCCGAGUUGUAAUCUAUAGACGUGUUUUCCGUGCUGGACCGUAUCUAAGUCCCUUGGAACAGGGUAUCAAAGAGGGUGACAAUCCCGUGCUUGAUACGACCACCAGUGCUCUGUGAUACACGCUCUACGAGUCGAGUUGUUUGGGAAUGCAGCUCAAAAUGGGUGGUAAAUUCCAUCUAAAGCUAAAUAUUGGCGAGAGACCGAUAGCGAACAAGUACCGUGAGGGAAAGAUGAAAAGCACUUUGGAAAGAGAGUUAAACAGUACGUGAAAUUGUUGAAAGGGAAACGAUUGAAGUCAGUCGUGUUCUUUGGAUUCAGCUAGUUCUUCUAGUCUACUUCCUUUGAACGGGUCAACAUCAGUUUUGUCCGGUGGAUAAAGAUAGUAGGAAUGUAGCUCCCUCGGGAGUGUUAUAGACUAUUAUUGCAUGCACUGGAUGAGACUGAGGACUGCAGCUCGCCUUUUGGCCGGCCUUCGGGUACGUUCGAGCUUAGGAUGUUGACAUAAUGGCUUUAAACGACCCGUCUUGAAACACGGACCAAGGAGUCUAACAUAUCUGCGAGUGUUUGAGUGUCAAACUCAAGCGCGUAAUGAAAGUGAACUGGGAGGGAUCCGUAAGGAGCACCUUCGACCGAUCCGGAUGUUUACUGAUGGAUUUGAGUAAGAGCAUAUAUGCUGG